GAUGAACGCUGGCGGCGUGCCUAAUACAUGCAAGUCGAGCGAAUGGAUUAAGAGCUUGCUCUUAUGAAGUUAGCGGCGGACGGGUGAGUAACACGUGGGUAACCUGCCCAUAGGACUGGGAUAACUCCGGGAAACCGGGGCUAAUACCGGAUAACAUUUUGAACCGCAUGGUUCGAAAUUGAAAGGCGGCUUCGGCUGUCACUUAUGGAUGGACCCGCGUCGCAUUAGCUAGUUGGUGAGGUAACGGCUCACCAAGGCAACGAUGCGUAGCCGACCUGAGAGGGUGAUCGGACACACUGGGACUGAGACACGGCCCAGACUCCUACGGGAGGCAGCAGUAGGGAAUCUUCCGCAAUGGACGAAAGUCUGACGGAGCAACGCCGCGUGAGUGAUGAAGGCUUUCGGGUCGUAAAACUCUGUUGUUAGGGAAGAACAAGUGCUAGUUGAAUAAGCUGACACCUUGACGGUACCUAACCAGAAAGCCACGGCUAACUACGUGCCAGCCGCCGCCGUAA
RNAcentral lists this ribosomal RNA (515 nucleotides) under uncultured bacterium. RNAcentral's name for it is "partial 16S ribosomal RNA". It matches the Rfam family "Bacterial small subunit ribosomal RNA", at positions 28 to 523 of the family's 1533-position model. The record is from RNAcentral.